RNAcentral lists this ribosomal RNA (301 nucleotides) under uncultured bacterium. Its description in RNAcentral is "partial 16S ribosomal RNA". It matches the Rfam family "Bacterial small subunit ribosomal RNA", at positions 509 to 807 of the family's 1533-position model. The record is from RNAcentral.
CAGUAGCCGCGGGAAUACGGAGGGGGCUAGCGUUGUUCGGAAUUACUGGGCGUAAAGCGCACGUAGGCUGCUUUGUAAGUCAGAGGUGAAAGCCCGGGGCUCAACCCCGGAUGUGCCUUUGAGACUGCAGGGCUAGAACGUCGGAGAGGUGGGUGGAAUUCCGAGUGUAGAGGUGAAAUUCGUAGAUAUUCGGAAGAACACCAGUGGCGAAGGCGGCUCACUGGACGACUGUUGACGCUGAGGUGCGAAAGCGUGGGGAGCAAACAGGAUUAGAGACCCCGGUAGUCCCUGUCUCUUAUAC